UUUAGGGACAACUAAGAGCGAGCCCGCUAAAGCCCGCCGAGCCGAGCCGCCCCUCUCCUCAACUCCCCGCACAAGCACACACCGCCUCCUCCUCCUCCUCCCCGUGCUCCCGAGGCCAGGCAGAGCCCCUCGGAGCUCCUGCAGAGGGGCACGUUUCACCCGCACCUUCCGCACUUUAGCAGCGCUCCCGGCUCCCGCACCGCAAACCGGCAAAGCAAACCAAAAUACCUGCUCCGGCCACGGGAAGCCAAGGCGCUGCCAGCUGCCGGCGCAGCCCCGCGGCCGAGGGGAAAUGGGCAGAAGCGGCUAUUUUUGCAGUAAUGGCUGAAGCGCCGGCAGUCCGGGUGCUGGGACAGAAACGCGAAAGAAAAGCUGGAGAGGGAUCUAUGUUCCAGAGCGGUCCCAGGUGCGCUGACCCCGCUGCUGCAGUGGAUCCCUGGCAGCCUGCGGCACCCUGCUCCUCCUGCUCGUGGCUGGGGCUGGAUUCCCCUGAGUGCUUGGCACUAGAAGAAUUUUUUAGGCUAGGCAGUGUUUUCAGAAAUGUUUUCAUUAAAACUGUAGCACUGCAGUAUCUGCACUCGGGAGAGCAAUGAAAAUUUGCUGGAUAUUAAUGUUUCACUGGCAGCAGUUAGUGGUGGCUAGAGGAAGACAGAAGGAAAUAGAGGACCUGGGAAGGUGAGGCUGCCUCUGAUGAAGAGGAGGGAAAAGCCAGUUUAUGGUUCUGACAUUUUCACAUGUUCCCAUGUGAAGCUCUGUUACAAAGGCUGAAAGAACCUUCAGCAUUUGGGACUCUCUGCAGGAGACCUCUGCCUCUCCCAGAUCUAACUACUUAGCACAUAGAUCAGUCAGGGCUGAAGGUUCAACAUACUGCUGUGUGAAAGGAAAGGCAAACCCUUAGAGUUUUCAGAGCAACUAACUGCAGCUCAUCUUUGCCUCCUUGCCCAAGUAGGAGGUGAAUAUCCUCUUUUCAUCUUAAAGAUUUCUUAUUGGACUUCAGCCUCUGUGCAUUCUGCUUCACAGAUGUAUCAAGUGAUGGAUGGUACCUAAUGCUAGGACCCUUGCAGAACUGAGACCUGACCACUUCGUAGUGUUGUAGUAUAAAAUUUAAGGAUACUAUAGUCAAAAUCUUCUAUAUCUGCUGGUGGACCAGCGUGUUUGAUGUUAAACGUGAAUUCUGAACUAGAAAAGAGAAACGUAAGACUCUUAUUUCAAGGGCAUUUGUAACAACUUAUUGUGGUAUAAGAAAUGCAGGUCCAGGUUCCCCCAUUUUGCUCUCCCACUAGGUAGGCAGCAGUAGCAUCUGCAGCUAUCUGCAACUGCAUCUCUGGAUGAGAAUGAAACUUUGCAUCUCUGUUCAAGACACUUUCCCUUCUGCUGGGUCUCGUCUGCCUGAGAUUCUUGCAUUAGCUAAAACAGUAAUUAUACAGUCAUGACACUUCUUUUAAAAUGGCUUGCACUAGUUUAUCUUACUUCCGCUAGGAGGCAGUUAAAGGUGAAACAAAAAGGCUUCAGUGGCUAAAAUAGAAAUGGUGGUGGCAGGGAAUGAUUUAAGUUAAACUGGUGCGAUGCUGGUUUUCGUUAGCCCAGGCUUGAGAGAGUGCAAAUGCUGGCUGUUAGACAGGAAACUUAAUUAAACAUCUGCUCUCUACGGUUAGGGGUACUGAAAUUUUGAAAACUUUUUUAUUUUUUAUUUUUUAUUUUUUUAUGAGUAGCCUUGGUGUGAAGAAAGAGACCCCAAACAUAGGCUAUAUCUCUUAACAAGUUAAAAAUCAAUUGUCUCUCUGUUAAUAGCCACAUGAAAACAAAACCUCACAGCUAUUCAGACACAUCAUCUGAACAUCUAAGAGCAAUGAAGAGAACCUUUAGCCUAACACAUGAGUAGAGUGGGGCCUGGAGUAUGUGCAUGCUCACCCAAUGCAGGCAUGCAGCCUCCUGCAGCUUCCACACCAGGAGGCCAUGUAACGCACACCUCCCUUCACCGGCUCUCAUGCAGGCAGCAUGCCCCAUCUUUCCAACUAAUAAAAGAAGUUUCCCCUGGUUUCCCCCUGUGUUCAGUAAGAACACAUAGAGGCAAAAAAGGAGGAGCCUCUGCAAGCCUGUGGAGCGAGAGGUGUUGAGAAAAUCCCGUGCAAUAGCAAGGUGGGCUUUGGUGAUGUGGGGUCACUGUGAGUACGGGGCAUGCUCAGGGUGAAUCAUGCAGCAGGAUGUGUAUGCCACUGAGCAUCUCUGAAUGUCCAGAAUUUUAUAGAGGAGAAAACAGGCUCAAAGAGUGACGCCUCCGGCUAUGUGCACUGUCAGAUUUGCUACUUGGGGAAACGGAUGAUCAUUCCUUUUUAUUUUGCUUCAUUUCAUUAUUCAUCCUGAAAGGAAGAGAGUUGUUAUAUGAAAGGUAUUUUUUAUUGUGGUGCUAAAGUGGCAGUUGUUCAGGCAGGUUCACAUCACAGUUUUAGAAAGGUAGCAAUUUGUGAAAUAGUAUUAGCCCAGCUGUAUAAAAUAAGGCCUUCAAAUACCAGUCAGUCUGGAAACAGAAAGAGACAAAGCCAAGGUACACAUUACUCUAACAAUUCAUGUAUAUUUGAGAGGCUGAAUUAUAAAUAAGCAGUUUAAACAACUCUUCAAGAAGAAUAAUAAUAAUAAAAAAAAAACAAGCUUCCAUAACUAUUUUAAAACUAGGUUAGCUUUCAUCUUUUCAUUUUUAUUUCUUCUAUUUUCUUUAUGCCAUGCUACUUCUCAAAGGCUACUAUGCACACACUGCUCUAGUUCUUUCUUUUUUCACUACUCUGAUGUCUCUUUAGUUGACUGAGAAGUAGUUAUUGAAGAAUUAUCACACAAGCUGUAGUUGCAAUUUUCUGUUGUCAUUGUUUUUAAAUUAUUCAUCAUAUAAUGAUAUGUUACAUUAUUUUUUCUGCUUAACAUGCAAGAAUACAAAACUUAAAAAUCCCUUUGUCAUUUAGACUGUGGGCUCUUCAGUACAAGGACUUUCCUCAUACUUCUGCAAAUCAAUUUUUUACAUGCUUGGAGAUACAUAUUGUUUAUUAUUAUUUUUACUUGCAAUACAAAAAUAAUCUCCAUAGACCAUGGGAAAUUUAAGCUUUAAAAGACAUCUGUUUAUGAAACAUCAUUUAAAAAAGAUCUUUGCUGCUACUGACUUAAGUUCUGAAAAGCCCACCUUUAGCUUAUGAUUUGUCUCUAGUAAACUUGAACAAAAUCUAGGUAAAAUUGAAAUAAAACACCUGCAUUCUUAAUUAAAAAAUAAAUUAAAAAUUCUUAUUCCAAAAUGUGGGAAUGAAGACUGGUUUUGUUUAAAACAACUCACAGUUCUAGUAAAAUCAUGAAAAGAAAAGCUCUCUUUCUUUGGCAAGAUCAAUUUCUCUGUCUCUUCAAGCUCAGAGGAGGCUAAUGCAUAUAUUCCAACUCAGCAACAAUUCCCUUUAUGCCUAUUAAUGCAUCAUUAAAGAGAGAUGGAAAUACAUGCUACUUUUUUUAUACAACAUGUACAAGUUCUGUCAGUUUAAACCACAUUUCUUUUACACGCCUGUUGCAAAACUUGAUGGAGGUUUUGCAAAUGUAAACUUCAUAGAAGUGUUAUUACCACAGUAGUUAAAUAAUUUUAAAAAUUGUGUAGUGAAACCUUUGGAGAGGGAGAAGAAGAAGCUCAAACCAUGAGCUGUGCAUAUGGGCUCAUUCUGAAGAAAAAUAAUUGUGUAUUCAAAGCACAAUAUUUUGUGCUUGUAAUUACGGGACACAAGAGCGAUUAUAAAUGGAUUGUCAUGCACCUAUUUUCACCCCAAUUUUAGUUGCCCAGGGGAAAUUUAAUUUUAAUAAUAGCUCACUACCUUAUUUGAUGUUUCUGCAUUUUUGUUUGAAAAGAGGUAACAAAGCAUGUUUGCAUGUACAUAUGCGUGGGCAUGUACAAAAUAGCAUGGAACAUUUAAAUAGAGUGUUAUCCAUUACUGUUAACAGCAUACCUCCUUCUUUCCCUUUGCAAACCAAAGGAUGCUCUUUGUUUUUUGUUUUUGCAUUGUUGUUGUGUUACAAAACUGAAUGAAGUAUUUCUUAAAGCUUGUGCUUAGCUCUAUUCGGAUGGAAUCUGAAAUUCAGAUGAAAGUACAGAUCAGUCUUAACUUUUUCCUUUAUUGCUUAUAAUGAUCCUUUUGUUUUAUUUGUUACUCAAGUUGCUCUAGAUACAUUUGUGUUUACAGUAAAUUUCAAUAAAAGAAUCAUCAGCUUUCACAGGUUUUAUGAAAAAAAAAAAAAACACUGUUCCAUAUUGUUUGACAUUUUGAAUUAGUAUAUCUCAGCCUCAGUUUUUUAAUGUUACUGGAGGAAAAAGAAAGCAACCACCUGCUCACCCAGUCAAAAACACAACUUUCCUCUCCAAUGCUAAAGGGAUUUCUCAACUGCUAACGGUAUUAAACAUUGAACUAGACUUAAUGAACAAGUGGAACUGAAGAAAAAAAUGUUCUCAACUCUGUAGGAAGAUAAGGAAAAAUAAAGGCUCUUAUUGUCAAAACUGAUUUAGUAUUAUAGCUCAAACCAGUAUUUAAUUCCAUUCGUUAACUUUCUUUAAAACUUCCAUAACCGGAAUUGUACAGUUUAGUAUUUGUUUUUCUUUAAAUUAUUUGAAAAACGACAUAGGUUAUUUUCAGAAUGAUGCAUAUAUACAUAUGCAUCUGAAAUAAAAAAUGUUUUAAAAAGACAUUUUUUCUUAUUCAAAUACUCAUGAUGAUGUUAUUAAUGU
Molecule: long non-coding RNA, 4741 nt
Organism: Oxyura jamaicensis (ruddy duck)
Lineage: Eukaryota; Metazoa; Chordata; Aves; Anseriformes; Anatidae
Exons: 4
Source: RefSeq, a predicted model, not a curated record